RNAcentral lists this small RNA (3444 nucleotides) under Pongo abelii (Sumatran orangutan). RNAcentral's name for it is "retained intron". The record is from RNAcentral. Lineage: Eukaryota; Metazoa; Chordata; Mammalia; Primates; Hominidae.
AAAGAUAAAGGCGAUAUGGAGGUGUAUAUCCAACCUGGUCCAUACGUGGAUCCUUUCACGACAGUGAUCCUGGACUGGCCAGACAAUGACAAGGAGUUACAAUUCCAAUGGUCAUGUGGGCACUGCUGGGCUCAGUGGAGCGGCUGUGUUGAGAGGCAGCUGCUUCGCACAGACCAGAAGGAGCUGGUGGUUCCAGCAUCCUGCCUGCCGCCGCCUGACUCUGCUGUCACCCUGCACCUGGCUGUUCUGAGAGGCCAAGAGCUGGAGAACAGGGCAGAGUGGUGCCUCUACGUGUCUGCGCCCUGGAAACUCAGGCCUCGAGUCAGCUGUGAGAGGAACUGCAGGCCAGUUAAUGCCAGCGAAGACAUUCUGCUCAGGGUCACCAUGGGGGAGGGCUCCCCAGUGGCUAUGUUCAGCUGGUAUUUGGACAACACCCCAACAGAGCAGGCCGACUCCCUCCCGGAUGCCUGCAGACUCAGAGGAUUUUGGCCAAGGUCCUUAACUCUCCUCCAGAGCAACACCUCCAUGUUGCUGCUGAACAGCUCCUUUCUGCAGUCCUGGGGAGAGGUCAUCCGAAUCAGAGCCACAGCACUGACCAGGCAUGCCUAUGGGGAGGACACCUAUGUGAUCAGCACUCUGCCUCCCCCUGAGGUGCCUGCCUGCACUAUUGCCCCAGAGGAGGGCACCGUUCUGACAAGCUUUGCCAUCUUCUGCAACGCCUCCACAGCCCUGGGACCCCUGGAGUUCUGCUUCUGUCUGGAAUCAGGUUCCUGCCUACACUGUGGGCCUGAACCUGUCCUCCCAUCAGUGUAUCUGCCACUUGGAAAGGAGAACAAUGACUUUGUGCUGACGGUAGUUAUUUCUGCCACCAAUCGUGCAGGGGACACACAGCAGACCCAGGCCGUGGCUAAGGUGGCACUCGGAGACACAUGUGUUGAGGAUGUAGCAUUCCAGGCAGCCGUGUCAGAGAAAGUCCCCACAGCUCUGCAAGGCAAAGGUGGCCCCGAGCAGCUCCUCCAGCUGGCCAAGGCCGUGUCCUCCGUGCUGAACCAAGAGCACGAAAGCCAGGGCUCAGGACAGUCGCUGAGCAUGGAUGUCAGACAGAAGGUCAGAGAGCAAGUGCUGAGAUCACUGACUGCAAUCACCACCGGCUUGGAGGACGUGCAGAGGGUGCAGGAGCUGGCCGAGGUGCUGAGAGAGGUGACCUGCCGGAGUAAGGAACUCACACCCUCGGCCCAGUGGGAGGCCAGCUUGGCUCUACAGCAUGCCAGUGAGGCCCUGUUGACAGUGAGUGCCAAGGCCCACCCUGAGGACCAGAGGCGCCAGGCAGCCACCAGGGACCUGUUUCAGGCUGUGGGCAGUGUGCUGGAAGCUUCCCUGAGCAACAGACCAGAAGAGCCUGUGGAGGCCAGCGGCAGCCAGAUUGCCACAGUGCCGCGGCUGCUUGGAGUCGUGGGGCAUGUGCAGACCGCCCUCCUGCUGGGAAAACUGCCGGAGGGCCUUCCAGCCAUGCUGGCCACCCCUUCCAUCUCUGUGUACACAAACAGGUACAAACCAGCUGCACCAUGGGUCCCCAAGAAAGCUCAUCCCCUAACCUGGUUCAUUGCACACCCGCACUCCAAAACCUUGUGCUAGGCAGAGCUCAGGAGACCAGCCUUGGAGCUAGAGAAGUGAUGGGACCUAGAGCUGGGAAGGGCUUUCCACCGAGAGAAGGUCCCCUUGUCACCAUGUUGAGUGUUUGCACAGCACAGGAAGGGAGGCAUGGAGUGCCAAGCCCAGUGUUAGAUCCACCUGAAGGAGUCCUGAGAGACGGUCACAUGGCAGCUGUGCAGGCAAGGGGGCUGAAUGAAUAGGACCAGCCUGCUGUUAACCAUGCCCUGCGUGUGUCUGGCCAGCCACUGCUCCUUGGGCCUGCAGGGACUCAAGAUCCACUUACCUUUGGCGUGUGCGUGCACACACACAGACACACACACACACACAGAGGGCUCAUUUCUCAGUGAGCACUGACCCCAUACCUGGGAUGCUCCACACCUUCCAUUCCUCCACCUGAGAAGCAGGAGCUGGACAAUGCUGCUGGCAACACUGGGACCCCCUGCCCCAAGCCUCGGUUCCUCCUGCCAGAGUUUCCCUCUUAGAUCUCACAGACAGUUUCCCAAAGCAGUAUCCUGAUUAGAGGAACGAUCUGAAAUGGGGUCCGCAACACGUUUAGAAAGGGGCAAGGUCAAAGACCAGAAAAGAUGGGGCAGGGUUAAGACGUGACGUCAGAGGUAAGGUAGGAAGGGGAGAUAACCCUGGAGAAAAACCUGCAUCCAAGCUCAUUUAUUCAUUCAACGAAAAUACUGAUGGACUACCAGUUAUAUGCCAGGCGCUGCUGUAGACACUGAGGGUACAGCAGUAAACGAGGCUGGCAAAGCGCCACCCUCAUGGAGCCUCCAGUCUAGCUGCCUCUUGUGCUGCUUCUGCUGAAACAAACAUGCUGAACUACCUAUAGGGAUCAAAACACACCCCCACUCUGAUGGUGAAGCUGGGCUCCCAGUAGCGCAGGAGGUGUGGGGUCUCCCUCGAACACUGACUUUCUUCUCCCUCCCCUGCCACCUCUGUUCUCACCUUCUGGACAGAAUACAACCCUGGAGUUGGCAAGGUUCCUCCCUGCGCAUUGAUGCUGCAGACUCUGCAACCUUCACGCUGCCCGCUGCCUCCUCCCUCGGCUCUCUGGAGGACGGCCAGGAGCCUGUGGAUAUAAAGAUGAUGAGUUUCCCAAAGAGCCCCUUUCCAGCCCAAAGCCACUUUGAUGUCAGCGGGACUGUCGGUGGCCUCCGUGUGACCAGCCCUGGUGGUCAGCUCAUACCUAUGAAGAAUCUGUCGGAGAAUAUCGAGCAUACUUGGGCUUCCUGUGGAUGCUACUGCUCAUGGCCUACGGGCAGAGGGACCCCAGCGCCUACCACCUCAACAGACACCUUGAGCACAGCUUCACCAGGGGCUUUUCAGGUGUGCUGGGCUUCCGAGAGUUCUUUGAGUGGGCCAACACCACCCUCGUGAGCAACCUGUAUGGUCACCCCCCAGGUAAGUCCUGCAGCCCUGGGGCUGUGUCAGCCUCCUUGUGGCUUCUCCUGGCUAGGAACAGACGUGGGGUACUGUCAGCAUCAGCCUCAUAAGAAAACCAGGCCGAGUGUGGUGGCUCACACCUGUAAUCCUAGCACUUUGGGAGGCUGAGGCGGGAGGAUUGCUUGAGGCCAGGAAUUCGAGACCAGCCUGGCAACAUGGCAAGACCCUGCCUCUUUGAAAAAUACAAAAAUUAGCCGGAUGUGAUGCCUCAUGCCUGUAGUCCCUGCAACUCAGGAGGCUGAGGUGGGAGGAUUGCUUAAGCCCAGGAGGCAGAGCCUGCAGUGAGCCAAAAUUGCACCACUGCACUCCAGCCUGGGAGACAGAACAAGACUCUGUCUU